RNAcentral lists this transfer RNA (74 nucleotides) under Candidatus Omnitrophota bacterium. Its description in RNAcentral is "tRNA-Met". It matches the Rfam family "tRNA". From Rfam's summary of the family: Transfer RNA (tRNA) molecules are approximately 80 nucleotides in length. Their secondary structure includes four short double-helical elements and three loops (D, anti-codon, and T loops). Further hydrogen bonds mediate the characteristic L-shaped molecular structure. tRNAs have two regions of fundamental functional importance: the anti-codon, which is responsible for specific mRNA codon recognition, and the 3' end, to which the tRNAs corresponding amino acid is attached (by aminoacyl-tRNA synthetases). tRNAs cope with the degeneracy of the genetic code in two manners: having more than one tRNA (with a specific anti-codon) for a particular amino acid; and 'wobble' base-pairing, i.e. permitting non-standard base-pairing at the 3rd anti-codon position. Lineage: Bacteria; Pseudomonadati; Candidatus Omnitrophota. The record is from RNAcentral.
UCGCAGGGUGGAGUAGCGGCAACUCGCCGGCUUCAUACGCCGGAGAUCGCGGGUUCGAGUCCCGCCCCUGCUAU